GCCGUAGCGAAAGCGAGUUUUAACUGAGCGUUCAGUUACUUGACGUAGACCCGAAACCGGGCGAACUACCCAUGAGCAGGAUGAAGCGAAAGUAAAAUUUCGUGGAGGUCCGAACCCACGAGCGUUGCAAAGCUCGGGGAUGACUGGUGGGUAGCGGUGAAAUUCCAAUCUAGCCCGGAGAUAGAUGGUUCUCCCCGAAAUAGCUUUAGGACUAGCCGCAAGGUGAGAAGUACGGAGGUAGAGCACUGAAUGUCCUAGGGGGUAUUGCACCUACCGAAGACUAUCAAACUCCGAAUGCCGUCAUCUUAUACUUGGGAGUCAGACUGUGGGUGAUAAGAUUCAUAG
This 345-nucleotide ribosomal RNA is filed under the name Clostridioides difficile. RNAcentral describes it as "bacterial LSU rRNA". It matches the Rfam family "Bacterial large subunit ribosomal RNA", at positions 665 to 1010 of the family's 2925-position model. The record is from RNAcentral. Lineage: Bacteria; Bacillati; Bacillota; Clostridia; Peptostreptococcales; Peptostreptococcaceae.